GAUGAACGCUGGCGGCGUGCCUAAUACAUGCAAGUCGAGCGAACGGACGAGAAGCUUGCUUCUCUGAUGUUAGCGGCGGACGGGUGAGUAACACGUGGAUAACCUACCUAUAAGACUGGGAUAACUUCGGGAAACCGGAGCUAAUACCGGAUAAUAUUUUGAACCGCAUGGUUCAAAAGUGAAAGACGGUCUUGCUGUCACUUAUAGAUGGAUCCGCGCUGCAUUAGCUAGUUGGUAAGGUAACGGCUUACCAAGGCAACGAUGCAUAGCCGACCUGAGAGGGUGAUCGGCCACACUGGAACUGAGACACGGUCCAGACUCCUACGGGAGGCAGCAGUAGGGAAUCUUCCGCAAUGGGCGAAAGCCUGACGGAGCAACGCCGCGUGAGUGAUGAAGGUCUUCGGAUCGUAAAACUCUGUUAUUAGGGAAGAACAUAUGUGUAAGUAACUGUGCACAUCUUGACGGUACCUAAUCAGAAAGCCACGGCUAACUACGUGCCAGCAGCCGCGGUAAUACGUAGGUGGCAAGCGUUAUCCGGAAUUAUUGGGCGUAAAGCGCGCGUAGGCGGUUUUUUAAGUCUGAUGUGAAAGCCCACGGCUCAACCGUGGAGGGUCAUUGGAAACUGGAAAACUUGAGUGCAGAAGAGGAAAGUGGAAUUCCAUGUGUAGCGGUGAAAUGCGCAGAGAUAUGGAGGAACAUCAGUGGCGAAGGCGACUUUCUGGUCUGUAACUGACGCUGAUGUGCGAAAGCGUGGGGAUCAAACAGGAUUAGAUACCCUGGUAGUCCACGCCGUAAACGAUGAGUGCUAAGUGUUAGGGGGUUUCCGCCCCUUAGUGCUGCAGCUAACGCAUUAAGCACUCCGCCUGGGGAGUACGACCGCAAGGUUGAAACUCAAAGGAAUUGACGGGGACCCGCACAAGCGGUGGAGCAUGUGGUUUAAUUCGAAGCAACGCGAAGAACCUUACCAAAUCUUGACAUCCUUUGACAACUCUAGAGAUAGAGCUUUCCCCUUCGGGGGACAAAGUGACAGGUGGUGCAUGGUUGUCGUCAGCUCGUGUCGUGAGAUGUUGGGUUAAGUCCCGCAACGAGCGCAACCCUUAAGCUUAGUUGCCAUCAUUAAGUUGGGCACUCUAAGUUGACUGCCGGUGACAAACCGGAGGAAGGUGGGGAUGACGUCAAAUCAUCAUGCCCCUUAUGAUUUGGGCUACACACGUGCUACAAUGGACAAUACAAAGGGCAGCGAAACCGCGAGGUCAAGCAAAUCCCAUAAAGUUGUUCUCAGUUCGGAUUGUAGUCUGCAACUCGACUACAUGAAGCUGGAAUCGCUAGUAAUCGUAGAUCAGCAUGCUACGGUGAAUACGUUCCCGGGUCU
Molecule: ribosomal RNA, 1372 nt
Filed under: uncultured bacterium
Lineage: Bacteria
Description: bacterial SSU rRNA
Rfam family: Bacterial small subunit ribosomal RNA
Source: RNAcentral